UGCUGGGGGUGGGUGGCAUGGGAAGCACAUCCUGCCUGGGGCCCGUCCAGGCACAUUGCUGGGGCUUGAGCACUUCUGCCUGCCUCUGUCAUCUCCUGCUUGAUGCAGAAGAUGCUGGGCUGAAAUGGCUGCUGGAGCCCUACAUAUGGAUGGACCCCACAGAACCACACAACUUUGCAGGGGAUCACACUGGACUCCUGGCGCUUACCCAGGAGUCUGUUAUCUGGCAGUGCUGA
RNAcentral lists this long non-coding RNA (236 nucleotides) under Cyanistes caeruleus (blue tit). RNAcentral's name for it is "lncRNA (ENSCCEG00000010896.1)". Lineage: Eukaryota; Metazoa; Chordata; Aves; Passeriformes; Paridae. The record is from RNAcentral.